UUGGCAAGUUGCGACAACGGACGCCGCUCCACUCCCUAUGGCAGACUCCAUGUGGCGCGCUUCGGUGAUAGCCACGGGUCUACUCCACUACUCUUCACAACAAACUCUUCUUGACCCUGGGCAGCCCACUACCAGAUGGUUACAGAUGUCGCUAUCAGCUUGCAGCCCCCUCCGCCUAUAAAAGGGGACCCCAGAUAUGUUAUUCGAUAAGCUCUGGUUUUUACCUAGAAACUCUGCUAAAAUUUUUGUUCGAGCACUCCAUUCUUGUUGA
Molecule: long non-coding RNA, 271 nt
Filed under: Elaeis guineensis (African oil palm)
Lineage: Eukaryota; Viridiplantae; Streptophyta; Magnoliopsida; Arecales; Arecaceae
Description: long non-coding RNA (EGUI_LNC062835)
Source: RNAcentral